This 523-nucleotide ribosomal RNA is filed under the name uncultured bacterium. Its description in RNAcentral is "bacterial SSU rRNA". It matches the Rfam family "Bacterial small subunit ribosomal RNA", at positions 987 to 1509 of the family's 1533-position model. The record is from RNAcentral.
UCCAGCGAACUUGGCAGAGAUGCCUUGGUGCCUUCGGGAACGCUGAGACAGGUGCUGCAUGGCUGUCGUCAGCUCGUGUUGUGAAAUGUUGGGUUAAGUCCCGNAACGAGCGCAACCCUUUAUCCUUUGUUGCCAGCGAUUCGGUCGGGAACUCAAAGGAGACUGCCGGUGAUAAACCGGAGGAAGGUGGGGAUGACGUCAAGUCAUCAUGGCCCUUACGAGUAGGGCUACACACGUGCUACAAUGGCGCAUACAAAGAGAAGCGACCUCGCGAGAGCAAGCGGACCUCAUAAAGUGCGUCGUAGUCCGGAUCGGAGUCUGCAACUCGACUCCGUGAAGUCGGAAUCGCUAGUAAUCGUGGAUCAGAAUGCCACGGUGAAUACGUUCCCGGGCCUUGUACACACCGCCCGUCACACCAUGGGAGUGGGUUGCAAAAGAAGUAGGUAGCUUAACCUUCGGGAGGGCGCUUACCACUUUGUGAUUCAUGACUGGGGUGAAGUCGUAACAAGGUAGGCGUAGCGAG